CGGACGAUCGUUUUGGAGAAGCGAGAACGCUUAAAUAGGGGAAAUGCWGGAUCCCAAAAGACCCAUGCCCACAUCAGGUUCCGUAUACAUGARACCAAGCGAUGCUUCAAGGGCCACAUCGUCAAUGCAAAAGCACCAACAAGGUGGACCACAAAGCCUGCUUCARGGUUCAUCCCACGCCGCAUGAGCGACGCAUGACGAAAAAGGRCGUCCAUAAAGCCACACGUUACCGUCGAUUAGGUAUGCAACACAGGAAACCCACAAGCUGCUCAAGGCAAAACAAGCCUUGUCGCUAAAAUGAAGAGGUAAGCACGCGUGGACGUUGCUGCGCGAGCAGAC
RNAcentral lists this unclassified non-coding RNA (339 nucleotides) under Cirsium coahuilense. RNAcentral's name for it is "partial external transcribed spacer". Lineage: Eukaryota; Viridiplantae; Streptophyta; Magnoliopsida; Asterales; Asteraceae. The record is from RNAcentral.